This 270-nucleotide ribosomal RNA is filed under the name uncultured bacterium. Its description in RNAcentral is "partial 16S ribosomal RNA". It matches the Rfam family "Bacterial small subunit ribosomal RNA", at positions 524 to 791 of the family's 1533-position model. The record is from RNAcentral.
GACAGAGGGUGCAAACGUUGUUCGGAAUUACUGGGCGUAAAGCGCGUGUAGGCGGCUUCGCAAGUCGGAUGUGAAAUCCCACGGCUCAACCGUGGAAGUGCAUUCGAAACUGCAAGGCUAGAGUUCUGGAGAGGAAGGUGGAAUGCUUGGUGUAGAGGUGAAAUUCGUAGAUAUCAAGCGGAACACCGGUGGCGAAGGCGGCCUUCUGGGACAGUAACUGACGCUGAGACGCGAAAGCGUGGGGAGCAAACAGGAUUAAGAAACCCUUGG